This 264-nucleotide ribosomal RNA is filed under the name Triticum aestivum (bread wheat). RNAcentral describes it as "partial small subunit ribosomal RNA". Lineage: Eukaryota; Viridiplantae; Streptophyta; Magnoliopsida; Poales; Poaceae. The record is from RNAcentral.
UUGGUAAGGGAAACUUUCAUCACACCAGAUGUCGAAGCUCUAUUGAAUAUUCCAUUGCGGCGAGGUGGUGGCGCAGAUUUUCUUGCAUGGGCAUAUGAGAAAUCAGGCAAUUACAAUGUGAAAACAGCGUACCGAGCUCUUAUGAACCGCAACGAGCAUUCAACUCUAGGUGAGGGGCAGGCUACAGGAGCUUCAGUGGAUCAAUCACACCUGUGGAAAGCAUUAUGGUCUCUCAAAGUUGUACCAAAGGUGCGUGUGUUCUAG